This 552-nucleotide ribosomal RNA is filed under the name uncultured bacterium. RNAcentral's name for it is "partial 16S ribosomal RNA". It matches the Rfam family "Bacterial small subunit ribosomal RNA", at positions 355 to 899 of the family's 1533-position model. The record is from RNAcentral.
UAGGGAAUCUUCGGCAAUGGGGGCAACCCUGACCGAGCAACGCCGCGUGAGUGAAGAAGGUUUUCGGAUCGUAAAGCUCUGUUGUAAGUCAAGAACGGGUGUGAGAGUGGAAAGUUCACACUGUGACGGUAGCUUACCAGAAAGGGACGGCUAACUACGUGCCAGCAGCCGCGGUAAUACGUAGGUCCCGAGCGUUGUCCGGAUUUAUUGGGCGUAAAGCGAGCGCAGGCGGUUUGAUAAGUCUGAAGUUAAAGGCUGUGGCUCAACCAUAGUUCGCUUUGGAAACCGUCAAACUUGAGUGCAGAAGGGGAGAGUGGAAUUCCAUGUGUAGCGGUGAAAUGCGUAGAUAUAUGGAGGAACACCGGUGGCGAAAGCGGCUCUCUGGUCUGUAACUGACGCUGAGGCUCGAAAGCGUGGGGAGCGAACAGGAUUAGGAUACCCUGGUAGUCCACGCGUAAACGAUGAGUGCUAGGUGUUGGAUCCUUCCGGGAUUCAGUGCCGCAGCUAACGCAUUAAGCACUCCGCCUGGGGAGUACGACCGCAAGGUUGAAA